AGACCCGAAACCCGGUGAUCUAGCCAUGGGCAGGUUGAAGGUUGGGUAACACUAACUGGAGGACCGAACCGACUAAUGUUGAAAAAUUAGCGGAUGACCUGUGGCUGGGGGUGAAAGGCCAAUCAAACCGGGAGAUAGCUGGUUCUCCCCGAAAGCUAUUUAGGUAGCGCCUCGUGAAUUCAUCUCCGGGGGUAGAGCACUGUUUCGGCUAGGGGGCCAUCCCGGCUUACCAACCCGAUGCAAACUGCGAAUACCGGAGAAUGUUAUCACGGGAGACACACGGCGGGUGCUAACGUCCGUCGUGAAGAGGGAAACAACCCAGACCGCCAGCUAAGGUCCCAAAGUCAUGGUUAAGUGGGAAACGAUGUGGGAAGGCCCAGACAGCCAGGAUGUUGGCUUAGAAGCAGCCAUCAUUUAAAGAAAGCGUAAUAGCUCACUGGUCGAGUCGGCCUGCGCGGAAGAUGUAACGGGGCUAAACCAUGCACCGAAGCUGCGGCAGCGACACUGUGUGUUGUUGGGUAGGGGAGCGUUCUGUAAGCCUGCGAAGGUGGCCUGUGAGGGUUGCUGGAGGUAUCAGAAGUGCGAAUGCUGACAUAAGUAACGAUAAAGCGGGUGAAAAGCCCGCUCGCCGGAAGACCAAGGGUUCCUGUCCAACGUUAAUCGGGGCAGGGUGAGUCGACCCCUAAGGCGAGGCCGAAAGGCGUAGUCGAUGGGAAACGGGUUAAUAUUCCCGUACUUGGUGUUACUGCGAAGGGGGGACGGAGAAGGCUAUGUUGGCCGGGCGACGGUU
Molecule: ribosomal RNA, 790 nt
Filed under: Salmonella enterica
Lineage: Bacteria; Pseudomonadati; Pseudomonadota; Gammaproteobacteria; Enterobacterales; Enterobacteriaceae
Also listed under: 6 other names
Description: partial 23S ribosomal RNA
Rfam family: Bacterial large subunit ribosomal RNA
Source: RNAcentral